GAUGAACGCUGGCGGCGUGCCUAAUACAUGCAAGUCGAACGCUGGAAAUCUAGCUUGCUAGAUUGAAGGAGUGGCGAACGGGUGAGUAAUACAUAAGCAACCUACCCACGAAGACUGGGAUAAUCUCUGGAAACGGGGACUAAUACCGGAUAGGUAAUCGGAAGGCAUCUUCUGAUUAUUAAAGGUUAAAAACACUGGUGGAUGGGCUUAUGGCGCAUUAGUUAGUUGGUGAGGUAACGGCCCACCAAGACGAUGAUGAGUAGCCGGCCUGAGAGGGUGAACGGCCACAUUGGGACUGAGACACGGCCCAGACUCCUACGGGAGGCAGCAGUAGGGAAUUUUCGGCAAUGGGGGAAACCCUGACCGAGCAACGCCGCGUGAGUGAUGACGGCCUUCGGGUUGUAAAGCUCUGUUGUAAGGGAAGAACGGUAGAUAGAGAAUAUCUAAAUGACGGUACCUUACCAGAAAGCCACGGCUAACUACGUG
RNAcentral lists this ribosomal RNA (486 nucleotides) under uncultured bacterium. RNAcentral describes it as "partial 16S ribosomal RNA". It matches the Rfam family "Bacterial small subunit ribosomal RNA", at positions 28 to 507 of the family's 1533-position model. The record is from RNAcentral.